UGCGCAGGCGGUUAUGUAAGACAGAUGUGAAAUCCCCGGGCUCAACCUGGGAACUGCAUUUGUGACUGCAUGGCUAGAGUACGGUAGAGGGGGAUGGAAUUCCGCGUGUAGCAGUGAAAUGCGUAGAUAUGCGGAGGAACACCGAUGGCAAAGGCAAUCCCCUGGACCUGUACUGACGCUCAUGCACGAAAGCGUGGGGAGCAAACA
Molecule: ribosomal RNA, 207 nt
Filed under: uncultured bacterium
Lineage: Bacteria
Description: partial 16S ribosomal RNA
Rfam family: Bacterial small subunit ribosomal RNA
Source: RNAcentral